Molecule: long non-coding RNA, 144 nt
Organism: Daphnia magna
Lineage: Eukaryota; Metazoa; Arthropoda; Branchiopoda; Diplostraca; Daphniidae
Exons: 2
Source: RefSeq, a predicted model, not a curated record
UACUACGCCAAAUCAUUUCACCUGCAUUCCAGCAAGUGAAAAGCUAAACUUGAUGCUUUGACCAGUUUCGACAUGAACGGCAGACUGGUUAAGACAAGAGUUUCACGAUCCUGCUCGUUCCUGCGUUGGGUAAACUUGUUAUGC